UCCGUAGGUGGUUUGUCAAGUCUGUCGUCAAAGAAUGGAGCUUAACUCCAUAGAGGCGGUGGAAACUGAGAGACUAGAGUUCGGUAGGGGUAGCGGGAAUUCCCAGUGUAGCGGUGAAAUGCGUAGAUAUUGGGAAGAACAUCGGUGGCGAAAGCGUGCUACUGGGCCGAAACUGACACUGAGGGACGAAAGCUAGGGUAGCGAAAG
RNAcentral lists this ribosomal RNA (207 nucleotides) under uncultured bacterium. RNAcentral describes it as "partial 16S ribosomal RNA". It matches the Rfam family "Bacterial small subunit ribosomal RNA", at positions 568 to 774 of the family's 1533-position model. The record is from RNAcentral.